RNAcentral lists this ribosomal RNA (404 nucleotides) under uncultured bacterium. RNAcentral's name for it is "partial 16S ribosomal RNA". It matches the Rfam family "Bacterial small subunit ribosomal RNA", at positions 28 to 526 of the family's 1533-position model. The record is from RNAcentral.
GAUGAACGCUAGCUACAGGCUUAACACAUGCAAGUCGAGGGACCGGCGCACGGGUGAGUAACACGUAUCCAACCUGCCCUUUACUCGGAUAGCCUCUCGCUAGAAAGAUUAUUAAACGAUAUGAAGGAUGGGGAUGCGCUCCAUUAGGUUGUUGGUGAGGUAACGGCUCACCAAGCCCUCGAUGGAUAGAGGUUCUGAGAGGAAGGUCCCCCACAUUGGAACUGAGACACGUUCCAAACGCCUACGGGAGGCAGCAUAGAGGAAUAUUGGUCAAUGGGCGUUAGCCUGAACCAGCCAAGUAGCGUGAAGGAUGAAGGCUUAUAGGUCGUAAACUUCUUUUAUAUAAGAAUAUGUAUUAUAUGAAUAAGGAUCGGCUAACUCCGUGCCAGCAGCCGCGGUAAUAC